AGUCACUGACAUUAGAUACCCCCGUAGUCCCAGCCGUAAACAAUGUGCGUUAGGUAUGUCGGUAACCACGUGUUACUGAUGUGCCGAAGAGAAAUCGUGAAACGCACCACCUGGGAAGUACGGUCGCAAGGCUGAAACUUAAAGGAAUUGGCGGGGAGCACCACAACAGGUGGAGCCUGCGGUUUAAUUGGAUUCAACGCCGGGAAGCUCACCGGAUAGGACAGCAGAAUGAUUGCCGGGCUGAAGACCCUGCAUGACUAGCUG
RNAcentral lists this ribosomal RNA (264 nucleotides) under uncultured archaeon. Its description in RNAcentral is "partial 16S ribosomal RNA". It matches the Rfam family "Archaeal small subunit ribosomal RNA", at positions 718 to 982 of the family's 1478-position model. The record is from RNAcentral.